CCCUUAGAUGUUCUGGGCCGCACGCGUGCUACACUGAACGGUUCAAUGGGUAAGGUAGUGCGAAAGCAUGACCUAAUCUCGAAAUCCGUUCGUGCUGGGGAUAGAAGCUUGCAAUUAUCCUUCUUGAACGAGGAAUACCUUGUAAGCGUGAGUCGUCAUCUCACGCUGAAUACGUCCCUGCCCUUUGUACACACCGCCCGUCGCUCCUACCGAUUGAAUGAUCCGAUGAAUAUCAUGGAUUGAGGAUGCAAGUAGGUUCGCCUAUCUUCAUCUUCGAGAAGUGAAGUAAAUCUUAUCAUUUAGAGGAAGGAGAAGUCGUAACA
This 323-nucleotide ribosomal RNA is filed under the name uncultured eukaryote. Its description in RNAcentral is "partial 18S ribosomal RNA". It matches the Rfam family "Eukaryotic small subunit ribosomal RNA", at positions 1470 to 1796 of the family's 1831-position model. The record is from RNAcentral.